RNAcentral lists this small RNA (757 nucleotides) under Pan troglodytes (chimpanzee). RNAcentral's name for it is "processed transcript". The record is from RNAcentral. Lineage: Eukaryota; Metazoa; Chordata; Mammalia; Primates; Hominidae.
GGCCAGUCCCAAAAUGGAACAUAAGGAAGUGGUUCUUCUACUUCUUUUAUUUCUGAAAUCAGGUCAAGGAGAGCCUCUGGAUGACUAUGUGAAUACCCAGGGGGCUUCACUGUUCAGUGUCACUAAGAAGCAGCUGGGGGCAGGAAGUAUAGAAGAAUGUGCAGCCAAAUGUGAGGAGGACAAAGAAUUCACCUGCAGGGCAUUCCAAUAUCACAGUAAAGAGCAACAAUGUGUGAUAAUGGCUGAAAACAGGAAGUCCUCCAUAAUCAUUAGGAUGAGAGAUGUAGUUUUAUUUGAAAAGAAAGGGUGACCAUGGUCCUUGGGCCCUAACAUCUGGACGAAGCCUUGUAAAACAGAAAUACUGAGGUGUUUUAAUCCUCAGAAACAUUUAGAUUGGGACACAAAUCUUAUUUUUACUCUUAAAUUUUUCACAUUUUGGGGGACAUGGUCUAUAUUUUUCUCAGAUUUCUGAAAUGUUGUCUUUUAAAAAUGUGUAAAAGUUACAGUUCCUUUUCUAUAGUUUAUUUUAAAAUGUGGGUCAAUAGUCCCACUGCUUAGAAUAAGAGGCAGACAGGAUUUCAAUAGAAAUUGCAUGCCUUUUUAGAUGUGCAAAUGUUUCAUUAAGCAUUUCCCAUCAAGUAUAUCCCAUCAAGUAUGCUCCCAUUAAGCAUAUCCCAUCAAGUAUAAAUAUUUGAAGGGAUGUAUGACACUUUAAAAACUGUUUCCUCUACUGUGUUGGUGGCCAGGUAUUAAGACC